UGGCUCAGAACGUACGCUGGCGGCAGGCCUAACACAUGCAAGUCGAGCGCCCCGCAAGUGGGAGCGGCAGACGGGAGAGUAACACGUGGGAACGUACCCUUUGGUUCGGAACAACCCAGGGAAACUUGGGCUAAUACCGGAUAAGCCCUUACGGGGAAAGAUUUAUCGCCGAAGGAUCGGCCCGCGUCUGAUUAGCUAGUUGGUGGGGUAAUGUCCCACCAAGGCGACGGGCAAUAGCUGGUCUGAGAGGAUGAUCAGCCUCACUGGGACU
This 271-nucleotide ribosomal RNA is filed under the name uncultured bacterium. Its description in RNAcentral is "partial 16S ribosomal RNA". It matches the Rfam family "Bacterial small subunit ribosomal RNA", at positions 20 to 320 of the family's 1533-position model. The record is from RNAcentral.